This 274-nucleotide ribosomal RNA is filed under the name uncultured bacterium. RNAcentral describes it as "partial 16S ribosomal RNA". It matches the Rfam family "Bacterial small subunit ribosomal RNA", at positions 523 to 796 of the family's 1533-position model. The record is from RNAcentral.
AUACGGAGGGUGCAAGCGUUGUUCGGAAUCACUGGGCGUAAAGGGCGCGCAGGCGGUUUGAUUAGUCAGAUGUGAAAGCCCACGGCUUAACCGUGGAAGUGCAUUUGAAACUGUCAGACUUGAGUAUCAGAGGGGAAAGUGGAAUUCCCGGUGUAGAGGUGAAAUUCGUAGAUAUCGGGAGGAAUACCGGUGGCGAAGGCGACUUUCUGGCUGAAUACUGACGCUGAGGCGCGAAAGCGUGGGGAGCAAACAGGAUUAGAAACCCCAGUAGUCC